Molecule: long non-coding RNA, 1065 nt
Filed under: Canis lupus familiaris (dog)
Lineage: Eukaryota; Metazoa; Chordata; Mammalia; Carnivora; Canidae
Description: lncRNA (ENSCAFG00030010380.1)
Source: RNAcentral
AUGCCCUCCUUCCCUCCCCCCCUUCCCCGAAAGUCAGUGAGCAGAUUGUGCUGUUUUUAUUCCAAGUUCUUCAUUACGCAGAAGCCUGAGUACCCAACCGGCUGGAAUUCCGACAGGAGGAUCAUCUGUUUAUGUUGGAGCCACGCUGGCUGCCACCCUCAUCACCGCGGCGCCCGAGGUACCACGAAUGUGAAAGAGCCAAGGCAGGUGUAAGCUGGAGAAGAAAGACAAACAGGGAAGGCUCACACAUUGGAAGAGCACUAAGUAAGAUUUACUACUGAGCCAGCAAGCGGGACGACAGUGUGGUCGAUAUGCAUCUUGCCAACAAGCACAGCGUGUCUUACAGAUAGUAUUUGGUUCUUCACAGACUAGCGUAUUCUCGGUUGAGGGUGGGGACGAGGAAGAGAGCACUUGACAGUCCCCCGGGAGUUUUUGUAGACCUCACACACCCGUUUCCCCACCCUUUUGCAGAGAUUUUGGUGCCCUCCUAUUUGAGAAGCGUGGUGCCAUUUACGGACAUGUUCCCAAAGAUAACCCAUGGUACUUUCAUUCUAUGAACAGAUCAGAGCAUAGAAAAAAUGAAAUUAUGCUACUUCCCACCAAUCAAACUCUUCCCCAGGCCAGACCUCAGCCCAGUCUUAGAGCCUUGGCACCAACCCACAGGCUCACCAGUCUUUAUGAAUUUGAUCCUUUGCAUUUAAUUAAAAGAAAUCAUUUAAACUUACAGGGAACAUUAAGUCAUUGGUAGCUAUGGGAGACCAGGAGGUCAUGGGUAAUUGAUAUCCAGUGAUAAUCCCCAAGCCUCAAUUGGAUCAGUGAUUUCAACUCCCCCUCCAAAUAGACUUUUAUUGGAGUGCUAAUAAUGUCGCUGCUUCGGCUGGUUUGUGCCCCAUCUCCUAUCCUCGCCUUACUCCAUCUCCCAGUGGAAGAGCUAAGUAUUGAAAAGACCCAUGGGCAGACAGCCAGUGAAGGAAGUAGCUGCAAUAUCCCACAGCACAGAAUAAUUGAGCUGCUAUAUACGUGCGUCCCACUUCAAGUACAGCUAAUACCAAAAAAUUCAAAUCU